Molecule: long non-coding RNA, 451 nt
Filed under: Triticum aestivum (bread wheat)
Lineage: Eukaryota; Viridiplantae; Streptophyta; Magnoliopsida; Poales; Poaceae
Description: long non-coding RNA (TAES_LNC011239)
Source: RNAcentral
CACACACACAUUUUCUAGUCAGCGCAGAUACAAAUCAAUAUCAGUACGAAAGCACCACACCCAUCCUCUUCUUUCUUGCUCACCUUUGAAGCACUCAGGAGUUGGCCUUCAUAGUGGCGGCGGAUCUGGUAGAGGUGUCCAUAGGAAGGGAGAUUAGCAACAACAAAAAUAAUAAUUAGGCUUCAAGAAGUGGGCCUACCUUCGAAGGAGCACGGUCGUGGCGGUUGGUAAAAUGCAUCGGACACGAGUAACAGGUCCCCUCUUUGGCGGAUCAGUCAUAGAGUCCACUUCUGUCUAGUACUUUCAAAAAAACAUUUUCCCCACUAUCAGUAAGCAGAAAUAAUAUCUGUAACGUCAAGUCAUACUUCAGGAGAGUAAAAUAUCAAUGCGAGACUAAAAUAGACAGCCAUGUCAAGUAUUAAGGUGCUACAUUGAGUUGACUUAGUUCAUG